CAGCAGUGGGGAAUCUUCCGCAAUGGACCGAAAGUCUGACGGAGCAACGCCGCGUGAGUGAUGACGGCCUUCGGGUUGUAAAGCUCUGUUAAUCGGGACGAAAGGCCUUCUUGCGAAUAGUUAGAAGGAUUGACGGUACCGGAAUAGAAAGCCACGGCUAACUACGUGCCAGCAGCCGCGGUAAUACGUAGGUGGCAAGCGUUGUCCGGAAUUAUUGGGCGUAAAACGCGCGCAGGCGGAUUGGUCAGUCUGUCUUAAAAGUUCGGGGCUUAACCCCGUGAUGGGAUGGAAACUGCCAAUCUAGAGUAUCGGAGAGGAAAGUGGAAUUCCUAGUGUAGCGGUGAAAUUGCGUAGAUAUUAAGGAAGAACACCAGUGGCGAAGGCGACUUUCUGGACGAAGACUGACGCUGAGGCGCGAAAGCCAGGGGAGCGAACGGGAUUAGAUACCCCGGUAGUCCUGGCAGUAAACGAUGGGUACUAGGUGUAGGAGGUAUC
This 495-nucleotide ribosomal RNA is filed under the name uncultured Veillonella sp. RNAcentral describes it as "bacterial SSU rRNA". It matches the Rfam family "Bacterial small subunit ribosomal RNA", at positions 349 to 833 of the family's 1533-position model. The record is from RNAcentral. Lineage: Bacteria; Bacillati; Bacillota; Negativicutes; Veillonellales; Veillonellaceae.